GACGAACGCUGGCGGCGUGCCUAAUACAUGCAAGUCGAACGCAGUGGGGACGGGUGAGUAACACGUGGGUAACCUCCCAUCAGAGGGGAUAACACUUGGAAACAGGUGCUAAACCGAUACUGAUGGAUGGACCCGCGGUGCAUUAGCUAGGUGGUGAGGUAACGGCUCAACAAGGCCACGAUGCAUAGCAGACCGUAGAGGUUGGUCGGCCACACUGGGAGGGAGAAGGGCCCCAGAGUCCUGCGGGGUGCAGUAGGAGGGAAGCUUCGGCAAUGGACUAAAGUCUGACCUAGUAACUCCGCGUGAGUGAAGAAGGUUUUCGGAUCGUAAAACUCUGUUUUUAGAGAAGCGGUAUCUAACCAGAAAGCCACGGCUAACUACGUGCCAGCAGCCGCGGUAAUUC
RNAcentral lists this ribosomal RNA (403 nucleotides) under uncultured bacterium. RNAcentral describes it as "partial 16S ribosomal RNA". It matches the Rfam family "Bacterial small subunit ribosomal RNA", at positions 28 to 526 of the family's 1533-position model. The record is from RNAcentral.